Molecule: ribosomal RNA, 497 nt
Filed under: uncultured bacterium
Lineage: Bacteria
Description: partial 16S ribosomal RNA
Rfam family: Bacterial small subunit ribosomal RNA
Source: RNAcentral
GAUGAACGCUGGCGGCGUGCCUAAUACAUGCAAGUCGAGCGAACAGACGAGGAGCUUGCUCCUCUGACGUUAGCGGCGGACGGGUGAGUAACACGUGGAUAACCUACCUAUAAGACUGGGAUAACUUCGGGAAACCGGAGCUAAUACCGGAUAAUUUAUUGAACCGCAUGGUUCAAUAGUGAAAGACGGUUUUGCUGUCACUUAUAGAUGGAUCCGCGCCGCAUUAGCUAGUUGGUAAGGUAACGGCUUACCAAGGCAACGAUGCGUAGCCGACCUGAGAGGGUGAUCGGCCACACUGGAACUUAGACACGGUCCAUGCUCCUACGGGAGGCAGCAGUAGGGAAUCUUCCGCAAUGGGCGAAAGCCUGGCGGAGCAACGCCGCGUGAGUGAUGAAGGUCUUCGGAUCGUAAAACUCUGUUAUUAGGGAAGAACAAAUGUGUAAGUAACUAUGCACGUCUUGACGGUACCUAAUCAGAAAGCCACGGCUAACUACGUG